GAUGAACGCUGGCGGCGUGCCUAACACAUGCAAGUCGAACGGAACUUUAACGGAUUGAGACUUCGGUUGAUUGAGGUUUAAGUUUAGUGGCGGACGGGUGAGUAACGCGUGAGUAACCUGCCUUUCACAGGGGGAUAACGUUUGGAAACGAACGCUAAUACCGCAUAACAUAGCGGGGUCGCAUGACUCUGCUAUCAAAGAUUUUAUCGGUGAAAGAUGGACUCGCGUCCGAUUAGGUAGUUGGUGAGGUAACGGCCACCAAGCCGACGAUCGGUAGCCGGACUGAGAGGUUGAACGGCCACAUUGGGACUGAGACACGGCCCAAAACUCCUACGGGAGGCAGCAGUGGGGAAUCUUCCGCAAUGGGCGCAAGCCUGACGGAGCAACGCCGCGUGAGUGAAGAAGGUUUUCGGAUCGUAAAGCUCUAUCAGCAAGGAGAAAAUGACGGUACUUAGACUAAGAAGCCCCGGCUAACUACGUG
Molecule: ribosomal RNA, 481 nt
Filed under: uncultured bacterium
Lineage: Bacteria
Description: bacterial SSU rRNA
Rfam family: Bacterial small subunit ribosomal RNA
Source: RNAcentral